UACGGGGGGGGGCAAGCGUUGUUCGGAAUUACUGGGCGUAAAGCGCACGUAGGCGGCUUUCUAAGUCAGAGGUGAAAUCCUGGAGCUCAACUCCAGAACUGCCUUUGAUACUGGAGAGCUUGAGUUCGGGAGAGGUGAGUGGAACUGCGAGUGUAGAGGUGAAAUUCGUAGAUAUUCGCAAGAACACCAGUGGCGAAGGCGGCUCACUGGCCCGAUACUGACGCUGAGGUGCGAAAGCGUGGGGAGCAAACAGG
RNAcentral lists this ribosomal RNA (254 nucleotides) under uncultured bacterium. RNAcentral's name for it is "partial 16S ribosomal RNA". It matches the Rfam family "Bacterial small subunit ribosomal RNA", at positions 524 to 776 of the family's 1533-position model. The record is from RNAcentral.